UACGGGGGGAGCAAGCGUUGUUCGGAUUUACUGGGCGUAAAGGGCGCGUAGGCGGUCGUGACAAGUCACUUGUGAAAUCUCCGGGCUUAACUCGGAACGGUCAAGUGAUACUGUCGUGCUAGAGUACAGAAGGGGCAACUGGAAUUCCGGGUGUAGCGGUGGAAUGCGUAGAGAUCCGGAAGAACACCGGUGGCGAAGGCGGCCUGCUGGGCAGUUGCUGACACUGAGGCGCGACAGCGUGGGGAGCAAACAGGG
Molecule: ribosomal RNA, 255 nt
Filed under: uncultured bacterium
Lineage: Bacteria
Description: partial 16S ribosomal RNA
Rfam family: Bacterial small subunit ribosomal RNA
Source: RNAcentral